Molecule: ribosomal RNA, 662 nt
Filed under: uncultured Cyanobacterium sp.
Lineage: Bacteria; Bacillati; Cyanobacteriota; Cyanophyceae; Chroococcales; Geminocystaceae
Description: bacterial SSU rRNA
Rfam family: Bacterial small subunit ribosomal RNA
Source: RNAcentral
CGGACGGGUGAGUAACGCGUGAGAAUCUGCCCUCAGGAGGGGGAUAACGGCUGGAAACGGCCGCUAAUACCCCAUAUGCCGAGAGGUGAAAUGAAUUUCGCCUGAGGAUGAGCCCGCGUCUGAUUAGCUAGUUGGUGGGGUAAGAGCCUACCAAGGCGACGAUCAGUAGCUGGUCUGAGAGGAUGAUCAGCCACACUGGGACUGAGACACGGCCCAGACUCCUACGGGAGGCAGCAGUGGGGAAUUUUCCGCAAUGGGCGAAAGCCUGACGGAGCAACGCCGCGUGAGGGACGAAGGCCUCUGGGCUGUAAACCUCUUUUCUCAAGGAAGAAGAUCUGACGGUACUUGAGGAAUAAGCCACGGCUAAUUCCGUGCCAGCAGCCGCGGUAAUACGGGAGUGGCAAGCGUUAUCCGGAAUUAUUGGGCGUAAAGCGUCCGCAGGCGGCCUUGUAAGUCUGCUGUCAAAACGUGGAGCUCAACUCCAUUUCGGCAGUGGAAACUACGAGGCUUGAGUGUGGUAGGGGCAGAGGGAAUUUCCGGUGUAGCGGUAAAAUGCGUAGAUAUCGGGAAGAACACCAGUGGCGAGGGCGCUCUGCUGGGCCAUAACUGACGCUCAUGGACGAAAGCCAGGGGAGCGAAAGGGAUUAGAUACCCCUGUAGUC